UUUCCGUAGGUGAACCUGCGGAAGGAUCAUUCAUAAUAAAGUGUUUUAUGGCACUUUUUAAAAAUCCAUAUCCACCUUGUGUGCAAUGUUAGAUCUCGUCAAUCUUGGCGAGAUUUUUAUACAUCAACUCAUUUUUUAACUAAUUUGUCUGAAAAAUAUUAUGAAUACUUAAUUCAAAAUACGACUUUCAACAACGGAUCUCUUGGCUCUC
This 211-nucleotide unclassified non-coding RNA is filed under the name plant metagenome. Its description in RNAcentral is "partial contains small subunit ribosomal RNA, internal transcribed spacer 1, and 5.8S ribosomal RNA". The record is from RNAcentral.